GCCCGGAUGGUGGAAUUGGCAGACACGCUAGUUUCAGGUACUAGUGCCGAGAGGUAUGGGGGUUCAAGUCCCCCUCCGGGCA
This 82-nucleotide transfer RNA is filed under the name Spirochaetae bacterium HGW-Spirochaetae-3. Its description in RNAcentral is "tRNA-Leu". It matches the Rfam family "tRNA". From Rfam's summary of the family: Transfer RNA (tRNA) molecules are approximately 80 nucleotides in length. Their secondary structure includes four short double-helical elements and three loops (D, anti-codon, and T loops). Lineage: Bacteria; Pseudomonadati; Spirochaetota. RNAcentral also lists the same sequence under 1 other name. The record is from RNAcentral.